GAAGAAUGAAAUUGAUUUUGUGCAUAUACUAUUCUCCAUUUUCUUUGGUCUUCCUUCAAUAAUAAAUAAUAUGCUCUUUGAAUUCAUGAUUAAUUGCAAGACGGGAGUGGAGCUUAGAGUUGAUCGAUACUGAAAGCGGAGGGGACGUUUGGGGAUAUUUAUAUAAGAAUUCAUUAAUGAUAAAGUUAAUGAGGAUUAUACCUUAUAUAUUGCAGACUAAAUAAUGAGACAUGACGUGUUUGAAAUAGAUAGAUUGAAAUUCAAUUACAGUAAACUUAACGACAAUUGUUCCCAUCAACAAUUAAUGCCAUGGAAUAAGCUCCUUACACAAUUCUACUAUACUAAGUUAGGCCAUUGUAUGUUAUAUGUAUUACUAAUAAAAUGUAAAAAUUAUUUUACACAAUUCGACUAUACUAAUUUAGUGUACGUGUUUUGCAAGUGUGUCUCAUGUUGAUUAAUAGGACUAACACCUUCAAGAUUAUGCAUUUUACAACCUUCCCUCUAUAUUCUUGUGGGUAUUCAAUCAAAACUCCAAGCCCAUAUUAAAAGAAUCACAUCUUCUAUAUGUCUUAGUAGUGUCGAGAGGCCGAAUAUGGAUGGAAAAAGUUGAGUUUUUGGGUUGGAACUCAUAAAACGGUGGAGCUGCAGCAAAAAGAUUGCAAUAGCUGAGAAGUACAUGAAGUACUAGAACUCCAAAGUCGAUUGCCUUCUCUCCCAUUACCAACGCACAAUCCAUUUCAAUCUAUUUCAGUUGCCAGUAAUAACCUAGUCUUUCGCAAGACUUCAACCAGUUGAGGUUAGAGUUUAAGAUCUUCUUGGUGGAAUGAUCCUUGAAGAAAGAAUAUGCCAAAUAAUUUUGAUUGAUAGGAUUGCAUCUACAAUUAAAAUCAUGAAACACUACUAUUAUGUCAGAACAUUUUUAAAUAUUUAGAAUACUAUUGUUUCCAUAUCUAUAAUUUUAUUUAUGAUACAUUUUGUUUGCAUAUAUUUUUUCUUCUAUGAUUGAUUUUAUUAAUUUUUGGUGAUUUGAUAAUGUUAUUUUAUAUGAAAUAGUAACCCCUGCUUACUUGGAUUACUACUUUAAGUUGCAUCUUACAUCUAUAUAGUUUAUAUAAUUUGAAUAUUUGUUUACUAUUUUUUUAAUAUUUAAUUUCCUUAUUAGUUAUUGUGUGUUACUUUUCUUAUUAUUGGUUUUAGUAGUAUAGUCAUUAUUGCUAUGACCUCUUGUUUUGAUUAAUAUUCUAUUGUCAAUAAAUGAGUUUUCUUUAUUCGACGUGCAAUAAUUUUAGAUUAAAUUCUAUGAGAAAAAUAAUUUUUUUAUAAUGAGAUUUGGGAUGAACUGAUCGGAGUAUUCAAACAAUAAUAAUGUCAGAUCUAUAUUGGAAAUCUUAACUUAUAGACAUGAAUAACCCAUCACACAAACAAAGGUUUUUGUCGUUUUUUUUAACCUUAGCUUGCUGGACUCUAAUUUCUAGCUUAGGUGGUGGUAUUAGUUUCCAUUGAAGCUCAACCCAUUGAGUUAGGAAAUGGAAGAAGGUAAGGCUAAUGAUUACUUACUGAGCUGAGUAGAAGCAACAAUCGGCAACAUUGAAUAGUGCAAAGAGACUGUGAAAUCAAUGAUAAUAGCUGCUACUUUGUUAGGGAAUUGCGACUAGUUAGCAUGGUCGGAAUGAUCACCUCCAGGGAAAAUAACAGAACACCAAGGAAGCAGCUUUGCGGGCACUGAGGGUUGAAAUGAUGUACAGUAAAGAAUGAAACUUAUGCCAAGAACCUUUGAAGUUAAAAUAAGGAAUCAAGUCAAGGCGACAAUUUCUGAAUUUUAACUUGCAUCUCAUGCCUUCUGUUUGUGGUUCUGAUCAAGUCAAUAGCAGUGGAAACAAAAAGAGAAGGCAAAGAGAUGAAGAGGCUGUGAAAGAAACUUUCCUAAAUGACCAAAG
Molecule: long non-coding RNA, 1937 nt
Filed under: Capsicum annuum
Lineage: Eukaryota; Viridiplantae; Streptophyta; Magnoliopsida; Solanales; Solanaceae
Description: long non-coding RNA (CANN_LNC009015)
Source: RNAcentral